Molecule: non-coding RNA, 69 nt
Organism: Rhamnusium bicolor
Lineage: Eukaryota; Metazoa; Arthropoda; Insecta; Coleoptera; Cerambycidae
Source: the annotation of a GenBank genome assembly
UUGAUGGUCUAAUGGUAAGGACACUUGCCUCUGACUCUGGAGUCCCGGGUUCGAUCCCCGGUCGAGGAG